UUUGUGUGCUUGAUUGUUCAAUCCUUUGCCCUUGCCUCAUGCCUUUACCUUUUAUGACUCAUUGUUGAAGUUGAAGUGCUUUGAACUUGUAAGUUGACUUGUUUGACUUUGAUGCAUCUUUGGAUGUUUAGCGCUUUUUCUUUGAUCUUGUUGAGUUGAGUUCUUGAGACACUUAUUCAAUUGAUUUCACUUCUGACUUGGUG
RNAcentral lists this long non-coding RNA (203 nucleotides) under Lathyrus oleraceus (garden pea). Its description in RNAcentral is "Pisum sativum (pea) long non-coding RNA (PSAT_LNC016687)". Lineage: Eukaryota; Viridiplantae; Streptophyta; Magnoliopsida; Fabales; Fabaceae. The record is from RNAcentral.